Long non-coding RNA from Diceros bicornis minor, 1412 nucleotides. RefSeq lists it as uncharacterized. The transcript has 5 exons. The record is from RefSeq and is a predicted model, not a curated record. NCBI's taxonomy places the organism in Eukaryota, Metazoa, Chordata, Mammalia, Perissodactyla, Rhinocerotidae.
ACAGGCCACCUCCAAGCCUUGUGCUGGCAAGUCUUGGUGUGCACCAUGAUGUCUGUAACAUACUAGGGCAUCUGAUGGAGGACUGGAAGAUCUUGGAGGCAUGAAGGGGCCCAUCUGAUUCUCCUCUUGUUGCCUACAGCAACCUGCCCAGUACCUGGAGUAAUUGCUCAAGAACUAUUUGCUGGAGAAAUGAAUAAACACAGGGACGAAUGCCCAGCAAACCCAUGUGUGGCAUAGCGAAGGGAUCCGACACUCCCCAAAAAGUGCUGGAGGGGUUCUUCGUGUCCCACUGUGAGCCCGGCUGAGUAGGGCACUGCAACAUGAGUAAUUCUGGACCAGGAGCAUGAAGUGAAGCACGCUGGGAAAUUUUGGCUACAUGACACUCUGAUAGCUUGCUCUGGAUGGCCAAAAAUGGGUAGAACCUGUGUCCUUGGGUUGUCCCCCUGGUGAAGCACACCUGCCCACCGUCCUCACGUAGGCUCACCAAUUUGCAGGAGAAAAUGCUGUCUACCCUCAUCCUUUCAGAGUUGUCACUGUGCCCUUCUGCAGAGGUGUUUGCAUAUCUCUGCUCUAACUGUCCGCACCUGCAAGCAGGGGCCUGGAGAUUUUUACACCGGGAUGCAGACCUGCUCGAGUGUUUCCAGACUAAAUCCCAGGCAGAAGCAGUGUUCUUCCUUCCUGUGCCUGAAGAGAGUCACUGUGAGUGAGAGACAAGUUCUUCCUUGGCAAGGCUCUGCCUAUGUUUCUCCUGGCUGCUCAGCCCAGCUCUGUGUGUAAGAAGAGAAGAAAACAGUGCCCAUGGCAACCCCUGAAUGUUGGCUACUGUUCCAUCUCAAACUGAACCAUUCCCAAUAGUCUUUUAGCAGACCUGACUUAGUAGUUUUGGAAUCUGUGACUUCUAUCUGGACAAAGUCAUGGAGCCACCAAGAGGCACGUGGCUUUAUAGAGAGAGCCUUGCUGGCAGGCCUGGACUACUGUCUUGGGGCAUGGAGAGUGCAGAAAAGUGAUGGGAUGUAUCCCUGAAUGGGAAACGACCCUACGUGGGCAGAGAAGAGAGGUCGAUGGUGAAAGGAUGCAUGACGUGGAAGGGAAGGGGCCUCACUGCUCGCUGAGAGGCUCGAUGUGUUGGCAAGACAGCCAGCAGCUCCAGGCUCACCUCCUCCCAGGUCCAAGUACAGCGGAGAGAAGAGGCCUCUGUGUGGCAGUUCCUCAAAUGAUUAAACACAGCUACCCUAAGACCCAGCAUUCCACAACUAGAGAGCAGAUCUUCAUGCAGGUGCUAUGUCAGGGACUGCAGCAAGAUGACCAGGUCCCUGCCUGGCCCUGUGGAACUCACGGCCUGGAGAGGGAGACAGACCCACCGACAGGCUCUUCCUCCCAGAGUGACAGGGGCAGCAUGGGGGGCGGGGAGU